UACGUAGGGUACAAGCGUUAGUCGGAUUUAUUGGGCGUAAAGAGUGCGUAGGUUGGUUUAUAAGUCUGAUGUGAAAUCCCAUGGCUCAACCAUGGAACAGCAUUAGAAACUGUAAGUCUAGAGGAUAGGCGGGGGAAGCGGAAUUCCACAUGUAGCGGUGAAAUGCGUAGAUAUGUGGAGGAACACCGGUGGCGAAGGCGGCUUCCUAGCUUAUUCCUGACACUGAGGCACGAAAGCAAGGGGAUCAAACAGG
This 253-nucleotide ribosomal RNA is filed under the name uncultured bacterium. RNAcentral's name for it is "partial 16S ribosomal RNA". It matches the Rfam family "Bacterial small subunit ribosomal RNA", at positions 524 to 776 of the family's 1533-position model. The record is from RNAcentral.